This 562-nucleotide ribosomal RNA is filed under the name uncultured Glomeromycotina. Its description in RNAcentral is "SSU rRNA". It matches the Rfam family "Eukaryotic small subunit ribosomal RNA", at positions 548 to 1114 of the family's 1831-position model. The record is from RNAcentral. Lineage: Eukaryota; Fungi; Glomeromycota.
UUGGAGGGCAAGUCUGGUGCCAGCAGCCGCGGUAAUUCCAGCUCCAAUAGCGUAUAUUAAUGUUGUUGCAGUUAAAAAGCUCGUAGUUGAAUUUCGGGAUCAGUAUGUUGGUCGUGCUUCGGUACGUACUGUCAUUACUGGUUUCUACCUUCUGAAGAACCUUGAUGUCAUUAAUUUGGUGUCUUGGGGAAUCAGGACUGUUACUUUGAAAAAAUUAGAGUGUUUAAAGCAAGCAUACGCUUGAAUACAUUAGCAUGGAAUAAUGAAAUAGGACGUUUGAUUCUAUUUUGUUGGUUUCUAGGAUCGACGUAAUGAUUAAUAGGGAUAGUUGGGGGCAUUAGUAUUCAAUUGUCAGAGGUGAAAUUCUUGGAUUUAUUGAAGACUAACUACUGCGAAAGCAUUUGCCAAGGAUGUUUUCAUUAAUCAAGAACGAAAGUUAGGGGAUCGAAGACGAUCAGAUACCGUCGUAGUCUUAACCAUAAACUAUGCCGACUAGGGAUCGGAUGAUGUUAUUUUUAAUGACUCAUUCGGCGCCUUACGGGAAACCAAAGUGUUUGGGUUC